CAAGUCGAGCGGCAGCACGGGUACUUGUACCUGGUGGCGAGCGGCGGACGGGUGAGUAAUGCCUAGGAAUCUGCCUAGUAGUGGGGGAUAACGUCCGGAAACGGGCGCUAAUACCGCAUACGUCCUACGGGAGAAAGUGGGGGAUCUUCGGACCUCACGCUAUUAGAUGAGCCUAGGUCGGAUUAGCUAGUUGGUGAGGUAAUGGCUCACCAAGGCGACGAUCCGUAACUGGUCUGAGAGGAUGAUCAGUCACACUGGAACUGAGACACGGUCCAGACUCCUACGGGAGGCAGCAGUGGGGAAUAUUGGACAAUGGGCGAAAGCCUGAUCCAGCCAUGCCGCGUGUGUGAAGAAGGUCUUCGGAUUGUAAAGCACUUUAAGUUGGGAGGAAGGGCAGUUACCUAAUACGUGAUUGUUUUGACGUUACCGACAGAAUAAGCACCGGCUAACUCUGUGCCAGCAGCCGCGGUAAUACAGAGGGUGCAAGCGUUAAUCGGAAUUACUGGGCGUAAAGCGCGCGUAGGUGGUUUGUUAAGUUGGAUGUGAAAGCCCCGGGCUCAACCUGGGAACUGCAUCCAAAACUGGCAAGCUAGAGUAUGGUAGAGGGUGGUGGAAUUUCCUGUGUAGCGGUGAAAUGCGUAGAUAUAGGAAGGAACACCAGUGGCGAAGGCGACCACCUGGACUGAUACUGACACUGAGG
Molecule: ribosomal RNA, 700 nt
Filed under: Pseudomonas sp.
Lineage: Bacteria; Pseudomonadati; Pseudomonadota; Gammaproteobacteria; Pseudomonadales; Pseudomonadaceae
Description: bacterial SSU rRNA
Rfam family: Bacterial small subunit ribosomal RNA
Source: RNAcentral